AUUGAACGCUGGCGGCAGGCCUAACACAUGCAAGUCGAGCGGAUGAAGGGAGCUUGCUCCUGGAUUCAGCGGCGGACGGGUGAGUAAUGCCUAGGAAUCUGCCUGGUAGUGGGGGAUAACGUCCGGAAACGGGCGCUAAUACCGCAUACGUCCUGAUGGAGAAAGUGGGGGAUCUUCGGACCUCACGCUAUCAGAUGAGCCUAGGUCGGAUUAGCUAGUUGGUGGGGUAAAGGCCUACCAAGGCGACGAUCCGUAACUGGUCUGAGAGGAUGAUCAGUCACACUGGAACUGAGACACGGUCCAGACUCCUACGGGAGGCAGCAGUGGGGAAUAUUGGACAAUGGGCGAAAGCCUGAUCCAGCCAUGCCGCGUGUGUGAAGAAGGUCUUCGGAUCGUAAAGCACUUUAAGUUGGGAGGAAGGGCAGUAAGUUAAUACCUUGCUGUUUUGACGUUACCAACAGAAUAAGCACCGGCUAACUUCGUG
RNAcentral lists this ribosomal RNA (484 nucleotides) under uncultured bacterium. RNAcentral's name for it is "partial 16S ribosomal RNA". It matches the Rfam family "Bacterial small subunit ribosomal RNA", at positions 30 to 507 of the family's 1533-position model. The record is from RNAcentral.